AUUGAACGCUGGCGGCAUGCCUAACACAUGCAAGUCGAACGGCAGCGCGGGGAGCAAUCCCUGGCGGCGAGUGGCGGACGGGUGAGGAAUGCGUCGGAAUCUGCCCUAUCGUGGGGGAUAACCAGUCGAAAGGCUGGCUAAUACCGCAUGCGACCGAGAGGUGAAAGCGGGGGACCGAAAGGCCUCGCGCGAUGGGAUGAGCCGACGCCGGAUUAGCUAGUUGGGGGGUAAGAGCCCACCAAGGCGACGAUCCGUAGCUGGUCUGAGAGGAUGAUCAGCCACACUGGGACUGAGACACGGCCCAGACUCCUACGGGAGGCAGCAGUGGGGAAUAUUGGACAAUGGGCGCAAGCCUGAUCCAGCAAUGCCGCGUGUGUGAAGAAGGCCUUGGUUGUAAG
This 398-nucleotide ribosomal RNA is filed under the name uncultured bacterium. RNAcentral describes it as "bacterial SSU rRNA". It matches the Rfam family "Bacterial small subunit ribosomal RNA", at positions 29 to 429 of the family's 1533-position model. The record is from RNAcentral.